GACGAACGCUGGCGGCGUGCCUAAUACAUGCAAGUCGAACGCAGUGGGGACGGGUGAGUAACACGUGGGUAACCUCCCAUCAGAGGGGAUAACACUUGGAAACAGGUGCUAAACCGCUACUGAUUGAUGUACCCGCGGUGCAUUAGCUAGUUGGUGAGGUAACGGCUCACCAAGGCCACGAUGCAUAGCCGGUCUGAGAGGGUGAUCGGCCACACGGGGACUGAGACACGGCCCAGACUCCUACGGGAGGCAGCAGUAGGGAAUCUUCGGCAAUGGAAGAAAGUCUGACCGAGCAACGCCGCGUGAGUGAAGAAGGUUUUCGGAUAGUAAAACUCUGUUAUGAGAGAAGCGGUAUCAAACCAAAAAGCCACGGCUAACUACGUGCCAGCAGCCGCGGUAAUAC
RNAcentral lists this ribosomal RNA (403 nucleotides) under uncultured bacterium. RNAcentral's name for it is "partial 16S ribosomal RNA". It matches the Rfam family "Bacterial small subunit ribosomal RNA", at positions 28 to 526 of the family's 1533-position model. The record is from RNAcentral.